CCCCAGACUCCUACGGGAGGCAGCAGUGGGGAAUAUUGCACAAUGGGGGAAACCCUGAUGCAGCAACGCCGCGUGAGUGAAGAAGUAUUUCGGUAUGUAAAGCUCUAUCAGCAGGGAAGAAGAAAGACGGUACCUGACUAAGAAGCCCCGGCUAACUACGUGCCAGCAGCCGCGGUAAUACGUAGGGGGCAAGCGUUAUCCGGAUUUACUGGGUGUAAAGGGAGCGUAGACGGCGACGCAAGUCUGGAGUGAAAGCCCGGGGCCCAACCCCGGGACUGCUCUGGAAACUGCGGCGCUGGAGUACGGGAGGGGCAGGCGGAAUUCCUGGUGUAGCGGUGAAAUGCGUAGAUAUCAGGAGGAACACCGGCGGCGAAGGCGGCCUGCUGGACCGUGACUGACGUUGAGGCUCGAGAGCGUGGGGAGCAAACAGGAUUAGAUACCCCUGUAA
RNAcentral lists this ribosomal RNA (448 nucleotides) under uncultured bacterium. RNAcentral's name for it is "partial 16S ribosomal RNA". It matches the Rfam family "Bacterial small subunit ribosomal RNA", at positions 329 to 793 of the family's 1533-position model. The record is from RNAcentral.